This 495-nucleotide ribosomal RNA is filed under the name uncultured bacterium. RNAcentral's name for it is "partial 16S ribosomal RNA". It matches the Rfam family "Bacterial small subunit ribosomal RNA", at positions 28 to 507 of the family's 1533-position model. The record is from RNAcentral.
GACGAACGCUGGCGGCGUGCCUAAUACAUGCAAGUAGAACGCUGACGCAGGAGCUUGCUUCUCUGGAUGAGUUCCGAACGGGUGAGUAACGCGUAGGUAACCUGCCUUGUAGUGGGGGAUAACUAUUGGAAACGAUAGCUAAUACCGCAUAAUAGUAGAUGUUGCAUGACAUUUGCUUAAAAUUUGCACUUGCCUCACUACCAGAUGGACCUGCGUUGUAUUAGCUAGUUGGUGAGGUAACGGCUCACCAAGGCAACGAUACAUAGCCGAACCGAGAGGGUUAACGGGCACACUGGGACUGGGACACCGCCCAGGCUUCCUAGGGGAGCAGCAGGAGGGAAUCUUCGGCAAUGGAGGGAAGUCUGGACGAGGAAAGCCGCGUGAGUGGAGAAGGUUUUCGGGUCGGAAAGGUCUGUUGUUAGGGGAGAAAGAGUGUGAGAGUGAAAAGUUCACGCUGUGACGGUAUCUAACCAGAAAGCAACGGCUAACUACGUG